Molecule: long non-coding RNA, 1835 nt
Filed under: Homo sapiens (human)
Lineage: Eukaryota; Metazoa; Chordata; Mammalia; Primates; Hominidae
Description: HSALNT0320389
Source: RNAcentral
CCUCUUUCACCCGAGAAGCCUUGCGUGCACUGUUAGCAAACUCACACAAGUGAAGAGGGACCUUUCUUUGCUACACAGCGUCCUCCGUGGCGAGCUGGAGGGAAGCGCUCUCAGCAGAGAGGGUCGCCCUCACCAAGAAGCCAAAGGGAAGAGGACAGAAUCUAUCUUGUAGGGACGCCCUUGGUCUUCAGAAGGAACACUUUUUCUGUUUCACAGAGAUCUGUGGAAUGUGUGGGUUCCCUGAAGAGGUGGACGGACCCCCGGGGUCGCGCGUUUUCUCAGCCCUGGGCCCGUAGCGGAGCUCGAUCCUUCCAGAGCUCAGGGCCAGAAAUGUUGCGAUUCCGAACACUUUGCCUUUCUUCUGAGAGGAGCCGCCCGGCAGACGCUCAUCAUUAAGAAGCAACGUAAUUAACAACGAAUGUUUCCCCUUGGCGCUAAUGCGAACACCCUGGGGAACUGCCAAGUCUGAUAUGUCCACCGCAUUACAAAUGGGAUUCUCUGGCAUCUGACCAACCCUCACAAUGGCUACUGGCCAUCUCAUGCCCAACAGGACAAUGCUUAUUUCCACCAGGAGAUGGCGCAUGCCUUUUUUUUUUUUUUUUUAAAUCCCCAGGAAGGUCUCAGUGCUGCAAAAGCUCCAUGACCAUUCUGCUUCUAAACUGACGGAGCAAACAUAUAUUUCCAGUGGUAAUGCUAGGAAAUACUUUGCUAAGGAUGUUACUUUGGUCCUUCAGCCAGUGGUCAGAGAACAGAAUGACCAUACUGCAACCACCCAUGGUGAACUGACUGGCACACCUACAAAAAUCUUAUCUUUGGGGUCCCCAUAGUACCCAGUGGAUUGCCUUGCACAUUGUAGGUGCUCAGUAUGUGUUUGCUAAAGACAUGACCCUGGAUAAAUCACUUCACCUCAAUUAGUCUGUUUCCCAAAUCUGAAAAUAAAAGCAGUGAAAUGGACAAGGUGACAGUUAAGGCCUUGAAUCAGAAGAGCCUCUGACAAUGUGACAAAUAGCUUAUGCUUGCUGAAUGGCUGACUUCUCUGAAAGGGAAAACAGCAGAAUCUGAGAGGGGAGAGUGGAGCGGAGUUCUUCCUCCCCUGUGCUAACAGGUAUGUGAUUCCUAUUAUUGUCUUUGGUGGGAAGGGAAGCAUGAGGCAGGCCCCUGGUCUACAGUGGAAGUGAAGCCUGAGGAUAGGCUAAGAAUUAGGGAAAUUAACAGGCUCCUAGGAGUCAGAAUGCUCAGCUUCUAUUCCCAGCACUGCUUAAAAUUUUCAGGGGAAAGUACUUUAUAAUCCUUGCAGCAUUUGGUGCCUUUAUUAGAAAAUCCUUUUAUGUGAGAUUUUGAGUUUCUUAUUUUCUCUCCUCACCAGGAUAAUGCACAGAAAGAGCUGAGGUGGGAGUCCGAGAGACAGGGGUCUGACAUGUAUAAUAUACUCUGCUGCACAGGAUUAUCAUGAGGGUUAAAUGAAAUAAUAAAUGUAGAUUACACUUAGCUCAGGACCUGCCACACACUUAGCUGAGGGCCAGGAAUUCAAUAACCAAUGACUAUCAAUGUCAAUCAUUCUAGCUAUUUUGUAGAUGCAAAGUCCAAUAGAAACAGAAAGGGUGCAAAGCUAAAACUUUUAAAAUACUCAGACCCAGACUCUAAUCCAUUAAAAAAAAAAAAGCAAAAAACAAAAAAGAUAAUCCCUAAUUUUUCUUAACCUUGCAUUUUUCCAUUGAGAGGUGGUGACUUCCUAAAAUGGAGGUAGACAGAUAGAUAGAGAAUCUGUAUAACAACAUACGUAAUCUAGAUACCUAUAUCUUUAUAAGGAAACCAGGUAAGGGACACUUGAGAAA